UGCAGAAAACUCAACAUUUCUCUAAAAAUAUCAAAAUUUAUACACCCUUAAGACUCUGAUGUCAGUCACUCUCAUCUCUCACAAUCACAUAUACCCAAACCCAAACCCUCUCACAGCUAUGUCAUGGUCGAGGAAUUGCGUUGAAGAGAUCACUGCAGUCAAGCCCUUAUGCCAAUGCAUGGCCAGACUUUCGUGUUCUCUUGCAUCGGUAGAAGCAAUAUGAAUCUUUCACUCCCCCUAACUCCAAUCUCACUCAAAAUUUCUUCCUUCCUUUCAUUCUUCACCAAUCUUAUCUUGGCUAACGAAUCUAAUCUUAGUCGAACUCCAGCUCUUGUGAACCAUAGUAUCUUGUUGUCGUGCCCAGGGACGCUUGCCUGGCAAAGCUCCUCUGUCGCGCUCCCCUGCAAAUGCAAGAAGUCGCCGUUGUCAAUUACCGAUCUUUCAUUGCUGCUACCAACGCCUUAAUCGCCAUGAAGUCGCCUCCAUUGACAACCAUCUCGAAUCUCUCAUUGUAAAUGGCCCUGAAGUUUUGAGCAAAGAUCAUGACGGAUUGUAAAUCAGCUUUUGACUAAGAUAGAUGGUGUGGAGUCACUCAAAAAUGUUUUGCUUAUUGGAAUGACUAACAGAAAGGAUAUGCUUGAUGAAGCUCUCUUACCCUUUGUUCACUUGAAUGGAUUUGGGAGAGACUGAUUGAGUGGAUUUAAAGAUAAAUUUUGUUGUUGUUUAUUUGAGGGAAUUUGGAGGUAAGUGAGAGUGAAUUUGGAAGCAACGUUUGUGAGAAUUAGUGUAAGAUUUGAUUGAUGUGACAGAUUAAAAAAAUUUACUUCCAAAUUCACUCUCACUUACCUCCAAAUUCACUCAAAUAAACAACAAAAAAAUUUAUCUUCAAAUCUUCUCAAAUCCACUCAAUCACUCUCCCCCAAAUCCAUUCAAGUGAACAAAGCCUUAAGACCAGGGAGAUUGGAACUCCAGGUUGAGAUAAGCCUUCCUGAUGAAAAUGGUCGACUACAAAUUCUUCAAAUUCACACCAACAAAAUGAAAGAGAAUUCUUUUUUAGAUCCAGAUGUGAACCUAAGAGCUUGGCACUCAAUAAUUGGGGACUUGCUCUUCAGUAUGGAUUAGCAUAGGACACUUUAAGAACUGGGGGAUCAGUGAGUGCUCAAGAAGUUUCGCCAAAUGAACUGUAGAGUCAGUCUACAAUAUAUAUUAUUUCUGCUAAUGCACUGAAACCAAAUUAUUCAGUUUAUGACAGUGCCUUGCGGUUGGUGCGCUCUAUGGUGAUAAAUACCUGAGCAUGUUGCCACUUGGUAUUGUGUUCUAACGCGUUAUCUAACACCGCCAUUAGUUGCCUGAUUAGUCAUUGUCACAGUGGCUUCAUGUUACUUUCUAUUUAUAUAUUUAUAAUUUAAUUGCCUUUUUUCUCUUAAUAAUUAGAAAAGUACUUGAUAUGGUUUAUUGACCAAUCUCUUAACCAUUCUUGUUGGCAAAAUCUUUCUUUGUAUAAAUGAUUCUGCUUUAUAAAAUUUGCAAUUACUUUCCGGUGUGAUCUAUUCUUUCACACGGCUUGGGAAUGAGAUUACUUAGAUAUGGAAGGAUUGAACUCAUGACGGCCACAUACAUGGCAGAAGUUGAGGUGUUCUCUCCAGGAAGCUGCAGAAAGCCGUGACUUUCAUUAAUGCAGAGAUUGAAAAUGAAGAAGUCAUGGAAAAUUUAGGUAUAGCUGAAAUUUGAACAUUAUAUGAGGAAAAUUUGAUGGGAAAGUUUCUGUACGCUUAUAAAAAUAAAUAGAAUACAGAUAUAUGUUAGAUCAGUGGUAGGUAUUUUCCAGAUUUAGUUGUGUGGAGAGAUGAUUGCAAUUGCAACACGCAAUUGGGUGAUACACAUGCAGAAUGUAUAAGAAAAACUUUCUUGUGUUAUGUUAUUGCUGUUACUAAAAAAAAUUGUUAUAAGUGUGAGAGAAUUU
Molecule: long non-coding RNA, 1963 nt
Organism: Vigna angularis (adzuki bean)
Lineage: Eukaryota; Viridiplantae; Streptophyta; Magnoliopsida; Fabales; Fabaceae
Exons: 7
Source: RefSeq, a predicted model, not a curated record